UUUUGGACGAGAAGGGAAGCUCACCGCUCGCACUGCUUCGCGCGAGUGGGCCAAAGCGAGCCCAUCACAAAUCCGUGCUAUCGUCCCGAAAGGCGAGAUCGUCUUCCAUUUCCGGAAGCGCUUAUGUGAUGGAUGGAUGUGGUGCGGGAUCCAAAAAAUGCUGGCGUGCAUAUCUCGCUCACUGUGCUCAUCUGAAUUAUGUUUCGGGGACCCCGUCAGCAAAGGUUCGUUUUGGCUAAACUCGCUUGCAAGCGUGCUCUAAUACUGCCAAACUUUGACGACGGAAGAAGCGUUUGAUCGUCGCAGCUCCACUGCUGGAUUGCUCGAUUCAUAUACACGGCACACAAACUUAGGUGUAAGCUUUUCUCUCGCACGCAGGAUGUCUUCGUGAAAUCCGACAAAAAACAUCUCACGCGCUGUGAAUCACCUGGUAUUCAUCUCAGCGGACAACAUCUGCUGCUUCUAGUGGCCACGCAGCCGAGAGAGCGAGAGGCGUGCUGGAUUGGAAUGGCAGCAUCGAUCUCGACAAGCUUCACUUUGAGAGGCGGUGCUCAUCACACGCCUCCGCCGCAGAUUCGUCCGCAGCAAAAAACGAACAAGGAGGUGAGCCGAGGUGGGGCCUUUCGCUUUGAUAUCUUUGGCUGUGAUCCAACCUCUCGUCAAAGUUUGCUUGCUAAAAUAACUUGAGUGCUCGACCUCUUUUUUCCUCUCCGAGCGCGGCGCGCAGCGGUAAUAAACGUGGCCAGAGCUUCAGCCAGUAAAAAUCAAAUCACGAGACCAUCAGCUUUGUCUCAGUGGACGGCGCACGGACGAAUUUGAAGCAUCCGCAAAAGAACUUUGACUGGGCUAUACGACAAGCUACAGGGCACCGAGUAUAACACACAUUCGAAUUCUUUUCCAUCGCAUCUUGGACUUUUCAAGCUCGUGUGCUCAGAUUCUAUGGGUGGAAAAGAAGCUUCAUUGCUUUGGAGCUCAGAUUCUUCUCUCAGCAGUGUAAUCACAGCACGCGAGAAUAAAAGAGGAGGAUAGAAACAUUCGCUCA
Molecule: long non-coding RNA, 1042 nt
Organism: Selaginella moellendorffii
Lineage: Eukaryota; Viridiplantae; Streptophyta; Lycopodiopsida; Selaginellales; Selaginellaceae
Exons: 4
Source: RefSeq, a predicted model, not a curated record